GCUCUGCUCCGCUCCGUUCGGUGCCGACGCCUCCAUCCAGGGUCACGUGAUCUGGGUUGACGUCGCAAAAGCGCCUGCCUCCCUGCGUCAGCGCACUAUAUCGGACGUCGUGUAACGCGUUUUGCACCCUUAUAACAUGUGACCUUUUCUAGUUUGAGGGGGAAAAAACAUGAUGUCAUGUCAGUCAGCACACAGCACGUGUCUGUGGACUAGGAGAGAAAACUGUAGUUACCUGGAGGAAACACCUAAAGAGUCAAGUCAAGAGUCUAGUCAAGUCAAGUGUCAAGUCAAGAAUCAAGUCAAGUCAGAGUCAGAAUCAGAAUCAGAAAGAUCUUUAUUGCCAGUGUUCAUCAGAUGGAUUGCCUGAGGGAAGAAACUUCCUAUGUCUGGUCGUUCUGUUCAGAGAAGUGCAUCUGUGCAGCAACCUGGUGCAAACGGUGCAGGACAAGAUAGUGCAGGGCAGGAGACAGUGCAAACAAAUGAUACAAGACAAUACACACAAAAAACAUCUCUUACAGUCAUUAUUAUGAUGUCACUAGAAAAUCCUCCACCCCCCAGUUUAUGCUACACAAAAUGAAAAAGUCACUUUAAUAACCAUGUUGAUAUAAAUUAUGUGGAUUUCUCGACAUGUGGAUUUCUCAAAGUCUCGACAAAGCAUUGAUAAACAUAGUAUGAAAGUAAAAGACAGAGCUAUAACAGAAAGACUAGGCUACAUAAUAUAAUAUCUGCAUAUAAGGAUUAGGCCUACUGCUGGAAUAAUUUGACAUCAGUGAAGAAGAAGAGCUUCUUGAUUCAAAAGAUUUGAAUCAUUCACUGAGUCGAGCAAAUCCUCCACAGGAGGUGACCAUCUAAAAUAAUCCACCCAGCACAUGUGGGGCAACUGUGGAGUCCACUGAGGGCAUGCAACAUAAAAAUAGAAGACAUCAGAAAUCCUCAUUGAUUACACAACAGGUGAUGGCUCUGCCUUUUUCUUGACGGCAUGGCGUUUGAUUAUUUUCAGAAAAUUGUAUAACGAUAAUGGUGAGAUUUUGAAUAUUUGAGGAUCUUCAAAUAUGAGAGAAUGGUGGAAUACAACGCAGAUGUGAAGCAUGAACCGGAUGUAUGUAUAAAUAAUUGGGGAAUGUAUAAAUACUUCAUAUUUUAUGCAUUAUUAGAACUGUCAGUCAUAACAUCAUACGUGUAUGUUACACACACUAUUGCUGCUGUAUAUUGUACAAAAGCACAAUGUACUAUAUUAUCUCACAUUGUCUCAUAUUGUCUGUAUUGUUGGAAUUUGGACAA
This is a long non-coding RNA of Tachysurus fulvidraco (yellow catfish), 1281 nucleotides long. RefSeq lists it as uncharacterized. Lineage: Eukaryota; Metazoa; Chordata; Actinopteri; Siluriformes; Bagridae. The record is from RefSeq and is a predicted model, not a curated record. The transcript is spliced from 3 exons.